AUUGAACGCUGGCGGCAUGCUUUACACAUGCAAGUCGAACGGCAGCGCGGGGCAACCUGGCGGCGAGUGGCGAACGGGUGAGUAAUAUAUCGGAACGUACCCAGAAGUGGGGGAUAACGUAGCGAAAGUUACGCUAAUACCGCAUACGAUCUACGGAUGAAAGUAGGGGACCGCAAGGCCUUAUGCUUUUGGAGCGGCCGAUAUCUGAUUAGCUAGUUGGUGAGGUAAAGGCUCACCAAGGCGACGAUCAGUAGCUGGUCUGAGAGGACGACCAGCCACACUGGAACUGAGACAGGGUCCAGACUCCUACGGGAGGCAGCAGUGGGGAAUUUUGGACAAUGGGCGCAAGCCUGAUCCAGCAAUGCCGCGUGAGUGAAGAAGGCCUUCGGGUUGUAAAGCUCUUUUGUCAGGGAAGAAACGGUAGAGGCUAAUAUCCUUUGCUAAUGACGGUACCUGAAGAAUAAGCACCGGCUAACUACGUG
This 482-nucleotide ribosomal RNA is filed under the name uncultured bacterium. RNAcentral describes it as "partial 16S ribosomal RNA". It matches the Rfam family "Bacterial small subunit ribosomal RNA", at positions 30 to 507 of the family's 1533-position model. The record is from RNAcentral.